RNAcentral lists this Y RNA (119 nucleotides) under Propithecus coquereli (Coquerel's sifaka). Its description in RNAcentral is "Y RNA (ENSPCOG00000000223.1)". It matches the Rfam family "Y RNA". Rfam says of the family: Y RNAs are components of the Ro ribonucleoprotein particle (Ro RNP), in association with Ro60 and La proteins. The Y RNAs and Ro60 and La proteins are well conserved, but the function of the Ro RNP is not known. In humans the RNA component can be one of four small RNAs -- hY1, hY3, hY4 and hY5. The record is from Rfam by way of RNAcentral. Lineage: Eukaryota; Metazoa; Chordata; Mammalia; Primates; Indriidae.
UGCUGGUCUGAAGGUAGUGAGUAAUCUCACUUGAUUGCUUGAUUGUUCACAGUCAGUUACAGAUUGAACUGCUUGUUCUACUCUUUCCCCUUCUCACUACUGCACUUGACUAGUCUAAA